This is an RNA transcript of Salvia miltiorrhiza (redroot sage), 2198 nucleotides long. RefSeq lists it as uncharacterized. NCBI's taxonomy places the organism in Eukaryota, Viridiplantae, Streptophyta, Magnoliopsida, Lamiales, Lamiaceae. The record is from RefSeq and is a predicted model, not a curated record. The transcript is spliced from 7 exons.
GGACGGUAAAGGCCCUCCUGAGAUCGAGAUCAACGAUCUUAAUCACAGAUUAGUUCAAAUAUCAGCGUGGAUUUUAAUUUUUUAAAUGACAUGGUAUGAACCGACAUCGUUUUAUGCCAUGUCAUUUUAAAAAAUAAAAUAUAAAUUACACAGUGGCAUUCGCGGCGAGCCAUAUCAUGUUUUUGGUGAUCGAAAAAUGGACGCUGGAUAUUAUUGACACGAAUGUAAUAGUUUGGGGUUUUAGACGAUAUUUAUAAUAGUUCAAGAUAUUUUUGAUAAAACGGGUAUAGUUCAUAGUUUAAUAUUAUAUUUAUCCAAAUUAGAAUGAUACAUGAUGAAAAUAGAAAAUUAAAAUUGAAUUGUUUUUUUAAAAAAUGAGUGUUUUUUAUAAGAUAAUAAAAUAAUAAGUUGGGGUAGAUAAAUUUAUUUUUUUGAGGAAAUUUAAAAGAGAUUAUAAACUUUAAAUAAUUUAUAAAUUAUUUUAAAAAGCUUAUUGGAUCAGUCAAACACCCUCUAAUGGAGUUUGAAACUUUGAAAGAAUUUGAGUAGGAGCUUAACUUAAUCCAUUACUAUGAAAUUUCAAAUAAUCCAGAAAACAAAAAUUAAAUAAAUAGCUAAAAACCCCUUACGACGACGUAAUGAACUCAGUUCAUCUCCCCCGUUUGCAAAUGAACUCCUGCAAAACCCUAAUUCGCGCUACAUUAUCAUGCCUGGAUUUCCGAGCUCGAAUUCCAAAUUCAAGUAUGCUGCGCCAUUUUCCCGUCUCUCUUUCAUCUCGUCCAGGGUUGAGAAUCAAAUCCCACAAGCCCUUUUCGAUUUCUAGAAGCUUCGGUAGUCUGGCAACCGCUAUUACAUCAGAAAUUUCCGAUUGUACAGAGGGAAUUGUAGCUCAUAGUGUUAAUUUAGAAACGCUACAAGAUUUAUGUAAGGAUAGGGUGGAGGAACUAUUGUCUUCCAAGAACAAGGAUGAUGUUUCAAGCUUGAUGAAAAUGGAGCGUCGUUUGGGAAAUGGUGAUGAGAGCAAUGGUGCUGAGAGGAGGAAGCGUUGGUUUCCUUAUUUAGAUAAAUGUACAGCCGAGGAUGCGUAUCUGAGCAGCAGUGAGGUUCUGGAAGCUGUUGCUCCUUACAUAAUGGACCCGAGGAAGGAAAAGUUUAGGAAUGCAGUGAAUAAUAGGAGCUAUUCUGUGUGUUUAGUGGUUGAGGGGUUGAGCGACUUUGGGAAUGUUUCGGCUGCUUUUCGGUCUGCUGAUGCUCUUGGAAUUCAGUCUGUCCAUGUCGUCUCAUUUGACAGCUCCAAAAGGUACAGAGACAAUCGCCAUGUCAGCAUGGGAGCAGAGAAAUGGUUGGACAUUGAACUGUGGGACUCAAUCAGUGAGUGCUUUGAAGUUCUGAAAGCACGUGGCUAUAGAAUUGCCACAACUCACCUGGGGGUGGAUGCGGUUUCUGUCUAUGAUGUAGACUGGUCUUGUCCUACUGCAAUAGUUGUUGGAAAUGAACUUAAUGGGAUAAGUGAGGAGGCUCUUAAGCUUUCAGAUCUACACUGCUGUAUCCCGAUGAGAGGCAUGGUUGACUCAUUUAAUGUUUCAGUAGCUGCUGGACUUUUAAUGCACCAUGCUGUAUGUGACAGGACUUCCCGCAUGGGUUGUCAUGGGGACUUAACAGAGGAUCAGCGCCAAAUUCUCCUGGCUGAGUUUUACCUCCGUCACAACAAAAACUCCACCAGAAUUGCCAAUGAAUACUCCAGGAGGAAAUUAGCUAUGCAAUCAAAACUCUGAAAGCACGACGUUUAACCUUGCAGAUCCGUAGUGGAGAAAUGUUGCAAAUCAUGAUGCAGAGUUCGAUAGGUAAUAACAUUGGAAAAACGGCAAGUUAAGAUUUUGGGCAAAGCACCAUAGUUGCCUUGGAAGGAUGAUGGCCACAUUGCCAGUUAUAUCAAUGCUGAAAGCCUCAAAACAGAAUUUUUGACAAGAAAAACAAAAUCUCAGCAACCUUAUGGACAUCAAAAAAAUCUGUUUUCUGCAGCAUCCUAGAGAAUUAAUUUUUGUAUUACACGUCCACUGAGGCACUGAGUAGCUUAUGAGAUUUCAUAUGAUAAUGAUGUGAGAUUUUGUAAAAAAAAUACUAUAUGUAGGUGUAUCUUAGUAAUUCUAUGUAUUUGAUAGACCUUGGCUGAUUAAGUUUAUCUUUAUUUCUUCUUA